UACGGAGGAUCCGAGCGUUAUCCGGAUUUACUGGGCGUAAAGCGCGUGUAGGUGGUUCUGUAAGUAGGGCGUGAAAGCUCCCGGCUCAACUGGGAGAGGCCGUUCUAAACUGCAGAGCUAGAGGAUGGUAGAGGGAGGUGGAAUUCCAGGUGUAGCGGUGGAAUGCGCAGAUAUCUGGAGGAACACCAGUGGCGAAGGCGGCCUCCUGGACCAUUCCUGACACUCAGACGCGAAAGCUAGGGUAGCAAACGGGAUUAGAUACCCCUGUA
RNAcentral lists this ribosomal RNA (269 nucleotides) under uncultured prokaryote. RNAcentral's name for it is "partial 16S ribosomal RNA". It matches the Rfam family "Bacterial small subunit ribosomal RNA", at positions 524 to 792 of the family's 1533-position model. The record is from RNAcentral.